CCAGCGGCUGGCAGUGGGGUUGGAGCUCCUGCCCCAAUUUCACUCACCUGAAGGGGUCCUUUCCUUCAGAUGAGGAAACAUCAACUGAGACUGUGUCUCAUGGUUAAGCUGUGCCCCUGCAUUGGAUACCAAAAAAGAAACACAAGGCCUGUUGGCCUCUGUAUUUUCUGCAAGCAGGAAAAAAGACAUCGAACUUAGAAGAGCAUGCAAGCAUCAGGGAAACACAUUUGGAAGGCAUCCAUAGGCCUAAGAGUUGAAGAUCUAAAAACAAAACAAGGUGUCUUAACGUGGUUCAUCAAAAAUAUGUUUCCUAUUCUCAUACUCACUGUUUUAUUGUUGCUAAUGAAAACUGUCUAUAAAGGAAUCUCCUCUAUUAAGUCUAUUUAUUUUUACCAAAUACACCCUAAGAAAGAGAAGAGGAAUAUAAGAAUGUAAGUAUCUAUGCCCCAUACAAAACCAGGCAACUAACCAAGCAAGAAAAACAAAAGUGAAAAAAGGCCAAACCCUAUACUCUCCGGUACUUUUGAGCUGAGUCACAUGUAUUAAAUGAUUUUGACCUA
Long non-coding RNA from Mustela erminea (ermine), 560 nucleotides. RefSeq lists it as uncharacterized. The transcript is spliced from 3 exons. NCBI's taxonomy places the organism in Eukaryota, Metazoa, Chordata, Mammalia, Carnivora, Mustelidae. The record is from RefSeq and is a predicted model, not a curated record.